Non-coding RNA from Enterobius vermicularis (human pinworm), 45 nucleotides. The record is from Rfam. Lineage: Eukaryota; Metazoa; Nematoda; Chromadorea; Rhabditida; Oxyuridae.
AUCAAGGUUUUUAUUAAAACCAUCUAUAUUACUAGAAGAGUGCAG